UAUCUCUGUAGAGUCUGCAUAUCAAUAAGCGGAGGAAAAGAAACUAACUAGGAUUCCCUCAGUAACGGCGAGUGAAGCGGGAAGAGCUCAAAUUUGAAAUCUUCAAGGUUCUACCUUGACGAAUUGUAGUUUAAAGAAGAGUUUUCUGUUGGAGUUUUGGUAAAAGUUCUUUGGAAUAGGACAUCAUAGAGGGUGAGAAUCCCGUAUUUGACCAUUAUUUCCAGCUUUGUGAUACACUUUCAAAGGGUCGGAUUGUUUGGGAAUGCAGUCCAAAAUGGGUGGUAAAUUUCAUCUAAAGCUAAAUACUGGCGAGAGACCGAUAGCGAACAAGUACCGUGAGGGAAAGAUGAAAAGAACUUUGAAAAGAGAGUUAAACAGUACGUGAAAUUGUCAAAAGGGAAGCGUUUGACACCAGUGUUGUUUUCUCGAAAAUCAAUUAAAAAAGGCAGGAUUUUGUGUUGUAUUGACUUUAUCAGCUUUCUGCACUCUUUUCUUGUCUUUUUUUAAUGCACUUUUCGUUUAACAAGUCAACAUCAAUUUCUUUUGUUGUAAAAGGGUCAUUGGAAGGUGGCUUUCUUUUCGGAGAAAGUGUUUAUAGUCCUUUGGCCUCUGCAAUCGGAGAGAUUGAGGUCUGCAGCGUAGAUCCUUCGGGGUUAGAUACAUUUGUGCUAAGUUAUAGCCUUUCAUAGACAACUUGUUGACUAUGAUCAGUCAUGUAGCUUACUCGCUUAUGCUAUUUUACCUACGCUUAGGAUGUUGAAGAUGUAGCACAUCAU
RNAcentral lists this ribosomal RNA (776 nucleotides) under uncultured Neocallimastigales. RNAcentral's name for it is "partial large subunit ribosomal RNA". It matches the Rfam family "Eukaryotic large subunit ribosomal RNA", at positions 24 to 635 of the family's 3401-position model. The record is from RNAcentral. Lineage: Eukaryota; Fungi; Neocallimastigomycota; Neocallimastigomycetes; Neocallimastigales.